AGAAAACCAACCAAACUAUUCAUCGAGAGAAGAGAGAUCACGAAGAAUGAACAGCAAACUAGGGUUUCGGACAGUUCCAUAGCUAUCCCUUUGUUUUGCCCUGAUGAUAAGGGACGCCAUGGACCUCCUCCUACCCCACCAUCGACAAGGGCGGCUGAGAGGCGCUUCGGUUCGACGAAGCCUCGGAGCCACGGCGAAGGAGAAGAGCACAGGACAACGAAGGCCCUGCCGCGGAUUUCGCAAACGAUCUGAUCUUUUCUUUUCUUGGUUAUUGAACUUUAAAGAUAUUGGAGAGGGAUAAAGAAACUAGGGUUCACAAAUGAUCGUAUCCAGAACGAGAUCGACCUUUUAUCCGCUGACUCAAUAACAGAGAAACGCGAUCAAGAACGAGAUCUUGCCAAGGAAUUCAAACGAGGAGAUUGAGGGUUUGGAAGCGCUCUCCUGCCAUUCGGCUUCCCUUUCCUCGACUUCCUCUUCCAUUUCUUUCGAUCGUGCGAGCGGAGCCGACCACCCGCAGCAGGGGAAAGAGAGAACGCCGCCCCAGAGACCGUGGUGGAGCCGGA
Molecule: long non-coding RNA, 563 nt
Filed under: Phoenix dactylifera (date palm)
Lineage: Eukaryota; Viridiplantae; Streptophyta; Magnoliopsida; Arecales; Arecaceae
Description: long non-coding RNA (PDAC_LNC013986)
Source: RNAcentral